AACUACAUUGAAAUAAUUAACGAUGAAUGCACCUCAUCCCGUCCGAUUUGAGAAGUUAAGUAUCGUCGAGCCACAUCAGUACUGAGGUUGGAGACAACUUGGGAACCUGUGGUGCUGUAGUCU
This 123-nucleotide ribosomal RNA is filed under the name Naegleria gruberi. The record is from RNAcentral. Lineage: Eukaryota; Heterolobosea; Eutetramitea; Acrasida; Naegleriidae.